CUUUAUAUAAAGAUAUAAUGAGAGUGUUGAGAAUUAUGUCUUAAAGUCAAUCGUUUGACGAUUGUGUUAAUUAUAAAUAUAUUUAAAUUGAUCAAUAAUAAAAGUUAUUUGACUUUUCUCAUCACAAGAUGACAUCUUCUAAUGAACUCUUAUAUUGUGAUGAAGUCCUUAGAAUUAUUUUGAUCGAUAAAAGAGGAUUUAUCGCAUAGUUCUUAAACUGAUUCCAACCAAAUGAUACACUAUAUUAAGACGAUAGCGAUAUCAAGUGUAAGUUGUUGUGUACCAUAUGUGUUGAUUAUCCUCGUAACCA
This 310-nucleotide long non-coding RNA is filed under the name Elaeis guineensis (African oil palm). Its description in RNAcentral is "long non-coding RNA (EGUI_LNC058169)". Lineage: Eukaryota; Viridiplantae; Streptophyta; Magnoliopsida; Arecales; Arecaceae. The record is from RNAcentral.